CUUCUUGUCACAUUAAGGGCUCUGGCAAACAGGUUUAAUAUUCGUGGAAUGAACAGAAUUAUUGACAAGCAGAGGAGGAACUAGACAGCAAGUGAGCAUCAUAUUAAUUUUUCAAAGCUUGAUAUUGCUUUUCCUGCUGACAGUGCAACAAACUUCCAAGGCUGGCAUUGCUGAAGCAAGGUUGGGUAGUGGUGGCUUGUUUCUCCUUGAUCUUGGUUUUCUGCUAUUCUGUCAAGUUGGAGGAGAGAAGGGAAGAGGGAGAAAAAUUGUGGUGGCUCAGAGCUCCACGUUUCCUUCAUGUGCAGCUGCAGACAGUGCAAACCUUGGGCUUGACACAGGUGUCACACUUUUUAUGUCAUUUUUAUUAGUGUCAUUUCCAUCAUUUAUUUUCACACCUGUAGCAGAGCUGCUCUUGGUUUCCAUCACAGGAGAGGGGAAGAAGGGGCAGUCCCAGGAGAGCUGUCCAGGGCACACAGCUGGGAGUUAAUCCCAUAUUUCCAUCCAGCUGAGAAUCUUUGGUUGCAUCAGUGACUGGAAUGGAGUUAAUCUUGAUUUACCCAGGAGACAGAAGGGGUAGAAUUGAGCACAGCAAGCUGAAUCCUAGAAUAGAAAAAGGCCACUGGAAAGGGAAAGAGAGUGCAAGGAGGAAAAGCUAACACCUCGGCCUCUGUGAUUCUGUCUUUGCAGGUCCCUCAAGCAACAUAACCAUAAACAGUCUCUUCAAAAAAUGUGAAUACUGUGCUCCUUUCUGACAGUUUUCCCCCCAGUUUCGUCCUGUCUUUACAAGGAGCUGGGGAAGAGAAAUAUUUAAUGACAGGUUUUGAUAUUUUAAUGUAGGCUCUUGGUUAAAACACCACAAAUCUCUCUGUGAAAGGGCAAUAGAAUUACAAAAGAAUGUGUUGCAGCAAGUGAGAAGUUGGUUGGAAGGGGGAAGGAAGUGGAAAGAGGCAAAGCUGCAAAACCCAUGGAGUAUCUUCAGGUGGAAAUCACCACUGACUCAUUUCAGGAGCACCUUUCCAGAGCUUGCUGGGGAGGAAAACCAGGCCAGUUUGGUGUUCUACCCUUCACUUUCUGUAAGGGCAGAGUUCCCUGCUGCUCUUUCCAAGGUAAAAAAGGGACCUUUAUUUUUCUGACUCCAACAUUUAUAGAUUUCCAAAAGUGACAGUGGAUUGGAGGGUGACAGUGCCGCCUCUCCAAUGACACUGGACAAACCAACAGUCCAUCAAAUUUCUCCUCA
RNAcentral lists this long non-coding RNA (1237 nucleotides) under Zonotrichia albicollis (white-throated sparrow). Its description in RNAcentral is "lncRNA (ENSZALG00000001163.1)". The record is from RNAcentral. Lineage: Eukaryota; Metazoa; Chordata; Aves; Passeriformes; Passerellidae.